AUGGUAAAUAUUAAAAAAUUUUUUUGAUGACUAAAUUCACUAUGGCUGAAAGAAAAUUGAAAUUUUCGCUUUACAACGACUCCUUGAAACUCGCUGCACGAUUUUUUUCAUCAUUUUGUUAAACUUUGAACUUUGGAGUUGGACGACAAAGUGUUUAUACCAUUAUUAGAAAUAUGUUUAAAAGAAUAUAGCCCGCUGGCACACAUAUUUUUCACCGAAAUUACUUAUUUAAUACUGGAAUAAAAAUCGAUACAACAAAGAUUAUAAAUCUUAUGUUUGUUUCAUAGAAGAAUGUUGACGAAAUCUUGAUAUGCUAUUCAGUUGACCUCUUAUUUCAAAGGGGAUGAUGCGCUAGAAAAUCUGUUUGGACUUCUUAACGCAAAAAUUAAUUUUUUUAACUUUUACAAUGAAAUUUUACGAAGUUGGUUGCUGGAGCAAAGGCAGGACAUUGAAAAUAUAACGGAACUGAUGUUUAAUCUAAUGAAAUACAUGAAUCAUUCUGAAAGAAAUGAAAUUUUGGAAUCAUUGACACAAUUCGAUAUUCUAAUAGUAAAAGAUGUUCUACGAUACGCUUUAUCUGAGAUACAUAGGAAUGAUGAUAUAGCAAAAAAUUGGUAUUCACAGUCUAAAAUUAUUACUACAUUGACAGUUACAGCAAAACACAUUACUUUAUAUUAUUCAAAAAUAUUAGUUGGCAAUGAUUAUUUUGAUCUGAAAAAAAUCAGAAUCUUAUGUUAUUAUUGUUUGAAGCUCUAAAAGAAGACGAUCUGUCAACAAACGAAGAAACAAUAGUCAAUGAAAUCAUAUCUGUAUUUUGCAAUUCAUUUUAUAAAAUAGAUGAAAAAUAUUUUCUGGAUUUCAUGAACUUUAUUUAUUGUCUAGUUCCAAUAGCAUGGUCUAACAAGAAAACAAUAGUUGGGUACGAAUAUUAGAAAUUCUUUUCGAACUACGUUUGAAAAAUUACUUUGAUUGUAAUCAUCUUUUCACCAAUGUAAUACGAAGUAUGUGGACAAAAAGUCUUCUGGAAACAGUCCGAAAAUUAUUACAAUCACGUUUAUUAACGUGACUAAAUUGUGUGCAAUUUUUAUGUGGAAUAAUUACAAAAUAUAUCAAGAACGUAUAAGAAAAUAUCAUUCGUAUAAGAAAGAAAUAUUAGUCAAUACAGCAGCUGAUUUUGACAAAACCAUACAUAAUGAUAAGGUUUCCUAUGCAGAGGAAAUUAUUUCAACAUUUUUAAAGAUUUCUGAUAUAACAGCAUGGAUAUAUCAGAAUAAAAAAUCUAACCCGAACCUAAUCCAUUAAAUUAGUUACUAAAUAAAAUAGUUGGGUUUAAGUAAAGUUCUGGUUAGGUCUUUUCUUCAGGUCGCCGUGAGGCGGCCGGCUACUCAAAUCGAAUUUUUAAGUACACCGGUCUACGCCGGCCGCCUCGAGGUAUUUAUAGGUAUUUAUAGAAACUAUAAACAAUCGGCGACUGAACGCUUACACACGCUGCCACAGGCACGUAGCUAGGCAAUAUUCAUCGGAGUAGUAGUAAUAGUUUUUUGCAAAAAUCUCGGAAACUAAGGCCGAACGGCGGUUAUAUGUAUAGGAAAAAGUUGUUCAAAAUGUUAAUCUCUACAACAUAUUCAAAAAUCGUCGAAAUCGGUUAGACCCCCUCCCCCCUUUUCUAAAUAAUUACCAAAAAUUGUUAAUACAUUUUCAAACUACAAUACAUUUUCGUAAAUAUACAUUUUUGUAAAACAGCGAACAUAAUAUUUAAAUCUUUCCCUUUUGUCCAAAGCAACGAAUACAGAGAUAGUGCAGUAAAUAUUAAUGUAAAUAAUUCUAUUCAGAAUGAUCGAGUAAGAAUUAGCACUUAAAUAUCUUUGUCAUUUUGGAGUUAUGUAGUAUAUGCGUUAAUUGACAGUAAUAAUUUUUUUUGUAGCUGGAGAUUUCGGGACUUCAAAAUUAACAUCACUUUUUGAAGUGGAAUAAUAUAUGCAUAAAUCGAUAUUCUCUAUAAAAAAAAUAAUGAUUUAUGUGUAUUGAAAAAUUUUUGAUUUAGGUAGGAAAUUUUAACUUUAAAUUUGCAAAAUUUGUUAUAUGAUUUUUUAUGUGAUAUUGUUAAACAUAAAAUGUUAUUUAUGUAGUAGGGGAAAGUAGAGUUGAGCCGGGUAUAUAAUGUAUCUAGCUUCGUAACAAAAAAUUGGUUGGCAGAAAAAGAUUCGCAUAAGACUAAAUCUCUUAAUUGGACUUUAUACAAUAAGAAAAUGACUAAACUUUCCUUUGGCCCAAAAAGCUUGUUUGGCUCAUGAAAAAGUAAAAUUUUCUAGAGAUAUGUAAAAAUUUGGUUUUACGCCAUUGAGGUAAGAUAGGUAAAAUCGGAUACCUAUUAAAAGACAUUAUGGGAACGUAUAAAAU
This is a long non-coding RNA of Frieseomelitta varia, 2400 nucleotides long. RefSeq lists it as uncharacterized. The record is from RefSeq and is a predicted model, not a curated record. NCBI's taxonomy places the organism in Eukaryota, Metazoa, Arthropoda, Insecta, Hymenoptera, Apidae. The transcript has 6 exons.